CCUACGGGAGACAGCAGUGAGGAAUAUUGGUCAAUGGGCUUACGCCUGAACCAGCCAAGUCGCGUGAGGGAAGACUGCCCUAUGGGUUGUAAACCUCUUUUGUCAGGGAGCAACGCCGGCUACGUGUAGCCGGACUGAGAGUACCUGAAGACAAAGCACCGGCUAACUCCGUGCCAGCAGCCGCGGUAAUACGGAGGAUGCGAGCGUUAUCCUGAUUUAUUGGGAUUAAAGGGUGCGUAGGCGGAAUGCCAAGUCAGCGGUAAAAUCGCGGGGCUCAACCUCGCUCCGCCGUUGAAACUGGCGUUCUUGAGUGAGCGAGAAGUAUGCGGAAUGCGUGGUGUAGCAGUGAAAUGCAUAGAUAUCGAGCAGAACUCUGAUUGCGAAGGCAGCAUCCCGGCGCCCAACUGACGCUGAAGCACGAAAGCGUGGGUAUCGAACGGGAUUAGAUACCCGUGUAGUC
This 460-nucleotide ribosomal RNA is filed under the name uncultured bacterium. Its description in RNAcentral is "partial 16S ribosomal RNA". It matches the Rfam family "Bacterial small subunit ribosomal RNA", at positions 338 to 795 of the family's 1533-position model. The record is from RNAcentral.